GACGAACGCUGGCGGCGUGCUUAACACAUGCAAGUCGAACGGAAAGGCCCUGCUUUUGUGGGGUGCUCGAGUGGCGAACGGGUGAGUAACACGUGAGUAACCUGCCCUUGUCUUUGGGAUAACUUCAGGAAACUGGGGCUAAUACCGGAUAGGAGCUCCUGCUGCAUGGUGGGGGUUGGAAAGUUUCGGCGGUUGGGGAUGGACUAGCGGCUUAUCCGCUUGUUGGUGGGGUAGUGGCUUACCAAGGCUUUGACGGGUAGCCGGCCUGGGAGGGUGACCGGCCACAUUGGGACUGAGAGACGGCCCAGACGCCUACGGGAGGCAGCAGGGGGGAAUAUUGCACAAUGGGCGGAAGCCAGAGGCAGCAACGCCGCGUGCGGGAUGACGGCCUUCGGGUGGUAAACCGCUUUCGCCUGUGACGAAGCGUGAGUGACGGUAAUGGGUAAAGAAGCACCGGCUAACUACGUG
RNAcentral lists this ribosomal RNA (468 nucleotides) under uncultured bacterium. Its description in RNAcentral is "partial 16S ribosomal RNA". It matches the Rfam family "Bacterial small subunit ribosomal RNA", at positions 28 to 507 of the family's 1533-position model. The record is from RNAcentral.